RNAcentral lists this unclassified non-coding RNA (334 nucleotides) under soil metagenome. RNAcentral's name for it is "partial contains 5.8S ribosomal RNA, internal transcribed spacer 2, and large subunit ribosomal RNA". The stretch from base 1 to 120 matches the Rfam family "5.8S ribosomal RNA", at positions 35 to 154 of the family's 154-position model. The record is from RNAcentral.
GAUGAAGAACGUAGCGAAAUGCGAUAAGUAAUGUGAAUUGCAGAAUUCAGUGAAUCAUCGAAUCUUUGAACGCACAUUGCGCCCGCCAGUAUUCUGGCGGGCAUGCCUGUUCGAGCGUCAUUUCAACCAUCAAGCCCCAGGCUUGUGUUGGAGCCCUGCGGCUGCCGCAGCCUCCCAAAACCAGUGGCGGGCUCGCUAUCACACCGAGUGCAGUAGUUUACUCUUCGCUCAGGGCGUGUGGCGGGUGCUAGCCGUAAAACCCCCAACGUCUCAAGGUUGACCUCGGAUCAGGUAGGAAUACCCGCUGAACUUAAGCAUAUCAAUAAGCGGAGGA